This is a long non-coding RNA of Astyanax mexicanus (Mexican tetra), 8071 nucleotides long. RefSeq lists it as uncharacterized. Lineage: Eukaryota; Metazoa; Chordata; Actinopteri; Characiformes; Acestrorhamphidae. The transcript is spliced from 6 exons. The record is from RefSeq and is a predicted model, not a curated record.
CAUUUCCCACAAUGCUUGUCGAUUGUAUUACCCGCAAAGUUACGGCUUACUGCCACUACACGGCAGUGUAGUCAUUGAUGUGGAAACCCUGCCGGAGGGAAGGUGUAACUUCGCGGGUGGAAUUGAGACAUAUAAAUGUUUAUCCCAUAAUGUCCAGAAAAAGAGAAGUUGAUGCAGACGGACGGCUGUGCUUCAAGGCGAAAGACCGGUAUGCCUUUUGUGUUACGAAGAGUGUUACUGACCAAAAUAAACGCUUUUUAGGAGAGAUAUAAGUUCUGUGUAAAUAUUUAUAAGACAAUAGCUGACAAAAUCUGUUUUAAUGACGUUAAUAAACAUCACUGUGACAGCGCUAGUCGCAGUUUCACCGCAGCAAAGUACGAGGACGUGAAUCACUUAUCUAACCAGCCUUUACUGAUUUCUGCCCUCAAUAACCCUUUCAAUAACCUCCAAUAGCCUUUAAUAGUCUUCAGUAGCCUUCAACAGUCUAACCUUGCAGCCGUGGUGUGUCCACUAAACUCCGUAGUUAUAAACAUCCUGAGGUUAGCAGCGCGAUAACUGACCUGUUUAUAAUGUAAUCCCAGCAGUGACUCAUGCUCUAAACGGCUGCUGUUAGCUGAUUGGGCUGAAAGAUGAACUGUAGAGAGCUGUAUUAUUCGGUUACAAAAAUCUUUAUUUCAUACACAGAAGAACUUAAAAAUUGUAAAAACGCUCCAGACUGGCUGAGCUGAGCCCUGUAGCCCGUGGCUGGGCUGUAGCUCUGACUCAGUAAAGACUGCGGACUUGUGGUGCUGCUGCUGCUGCUGCAGCUCCCACUAGUGGUUGGAUGAGGAACUGCUAAAUCUGAGGAAAUGCUAUGUUCUUAACAGCUCACAAUUUUUGAUUUUAUAUUUAUUAAGCCUUAUUUCAGUUAAUAAUUUCAAAGUUAAUAUAACUUGAUGUCAUUUCUAUUCACUUGAAUAGUUUGGUUCUUGAUUGAUGGAGUUUUUGGAUUUCAUGACAUGACAAAUUAAAAGGAUUUAUGUUAAUAGAGCAACAAGCAAACAUUUUUUCCAUGCAACUGUAAUAUUUGAUUGAAUAAAUAAUAUAUUGAGAGUUAUUUAACAUUAAGGAGUAAUUACAUUCAUUUACAUAUAUUACAUUUGGUUACAUUUUAUUACAUAUAUAAGUUACAUCUGGCCCUCGGAGGACAGCCAAUAUGCCAAUGUGGCCCUCGGCCAAAAUGAGUUUGACACCCCUGCAGUAAACAUAGAAUAUAUAGAAGCAACAUUCUAACCUGAUUGGCUUCUAGCUUUUCUUUGGACCCAUCACAUACAAGGCGGUCCGAUGUCCUCAAGCUCCUGCUCUCUGAAUUUCUAGUUUUUUUUCCCUGUUUAUUCUGUUGAACGGGGUGGACCCACGUCGAUCUGUGGGAACGGCUGUGUUUCCAGCGCAGGUAAAUCGCAGAAACGGCCAAGAGUCCAGCAAGUUUGGGAGUUAUAGCUGUAGAAUAAAGUGGCCAAGCGAUUCCUUUUUUGUGCUUUUUUUUCUUGUCGGAGGCUGGACCAUGAUACACACGUGCAUUGAGCUUGACAGGCCCAUAAGCGACUCAUCGCAUUCCAGUGUGAACACAGGAUAUGGUUCUACGCCUGCUGGCGUGUUGCUGCGUGGUAGACUACUGGCUUUCCAAGAUUCUCGUCAACCUACACCAGCUAGGUAUCUAAGGAAAGACAACCUGCACCCAAGACUUCAACAGUACAGACGUUAUCGGUACAUCUAGAUUCUACCAACGGAACCACAACUACAUCUCCAACAAUCAAUAUGCAAGUAAGGAAUGCCGAAACCUUUCUUCUGGCAAUCAUAGUAGUUUUCCUAGGUGUAUACUCGAAGUCUAAGUUCACCUGUUGCCAGUGAGGACAAUGACAACUCAUUUAAGUCACUAUUCAAUUUAACAAGGCAGACAUUAUUUCCAGGAAGAAAUGUCUGUUUUCCACAUCCUGUCAGUGUCUCUGCUGGAAUAGCUUUGGACUGCUCAUCCAAUUUCUGACUGUGAUAUUUGUCGUCUAUUACUGAUAGAUGUUUUAUCUCCUGAAAUUAACACAAGUCAUAACAUAUCUCAGCCCAAGAUAUCCCAGUGCUGUACAUCGGGCGUGGCAGCCUGUGAGAAGACAUAUGCUCCAGACCAUAGACAUUGAUGGUAUAUACUCCAUUCCUAAACCAUUGUGCGGACGUGUGAUAUAACUUAAUCAAAUCGAUAAUAGUCAUACCCAUAGACAACAGUCUGAUUUCAAGGCAAAAACAAUUACUGAUUGUGUCUGACAAAAAAAUACGGUUUAAUUGGCUGUGAAUUACUAACUUUUGUCGUACUCCUGCACCUACUCUUACAUAUUGGUGAUGUGGAAGUUCUGCUUUUAGUGAACUACCUGCUGGAUUCAAAUGGUCAGUGUUCUUUAAUUUAUUUGCUACCAGCAAUGAGACCACAGUCAACCAACCACACAGAAUGAACCCCAUAGAAAAGGUUAGCAAGGAUUGUAAUGUGAUAGUUAUUCACAGUUCUAUAAACAUCCCAGUUUCUUUAGAUGUGCCAAGUGCAUGUGGCCUGGUUAAUUGUUCAUUGUAAUACACAGGUGUGCACAUGGUACAAGAACAGUGAGGAGGUCUUUGCUGGCUCUAAAUAUCACAAUUUUAUAAAUGCAAAAUUACAUCCUAAUGGAACUCUAGAAAUGUCGUCUCCUAAUAAGGGCAUGCACCUUUUAUUUAAGGAGUCCCAACAACAUAACAAAACAAUAACUCCUGAAAUAAUAUUAUCAUUAAUUUCCUGUAAAUUAGACAUUUACAGUACUUUUACUUUUGAGGUAAAUUCAGUACCAUGCCACAUAAAAUAUUUGGUUCUUACAUGCUUUGCAUCACGUAUUCCAACUAGUGUGUCAUUAUUUGCUGAUCAUAAUCCAUGUAUUGAACAUUUAACAUGCGUUUAAUCAUUCUGGACUAGGUUUUUAGGUGGACUCACUCCAAACUAUGGUGUUAUGCUUGCCCUAGAUCAAACACAUAGCAUUGAAAAACUUGCUGAUGACACGGCACAGUCAUUAGGUGUUCCCGCUACUACAUUUUUUAAAUCACAUAGGCUGAUAAUUUUUUUAAAACAGAGUGGCCUUAGAAUAUAUAUUAGCUCAGCAAGGAGGAACAUGUUCUGUAUUCAGGGCUUAUCUUUGACCCAGUUCUCUCGUUUGAUGCACACAUAUGUAGCAUAGUCAAAACUGCAUUCUUCCAUUUAUGAAAUAUAGCUAAAAUCUGCAGUAUACUCUCUCUGGAAGAUGCUGAGAAGCUGGUGCAUGCAUUCAUAAUCUUGAGGCUGGACUAUUGCAAUGCGUUGUUGGCUGGAAGUACAUCCACUCCAGCUAGUUCAGAAUGCAGCCGCGAGAGUGCUUACUAGAGCUAGAAAAUUUGAAAAUUGACAUUACCCCUAUUCUUUCAUCCCUACACUGACUACCUGUUAAAUUUUGAAUAGAUUAUAAAAUACUUCUCCUGACGUAUAAAUCCCUCAAUGGUCUGGCCCCACAUUAUCUAGAGGAAGUUCUUACUCCUUACAAUCCGCCAUGUUCACUCCGCUCCCAAGACGCUGGCCUGUUAUUAGUCCAGUGUAUUAGGGGGGGAAAAAAAAAAAAAAAACUUUGCAGGAGGAAGAGCUUUUUUUUUUUUUAUAAAUCUCCCCAACUUUAAAAUAACUUCCCUAUUAAUUUACAGGACUCAGACACACUCUCAGUCUUUAAAUCUAGACUCAUUUCUAGUCAUUUCUAUUUGCUUAAGCUUUUGAAUACUGUCUCAUUGCAAUUUCUGUGAUUUUUCUCUUACUGUAGCCCUUCUAACUAUUCCUCUUGCAGCUCAUCCAGCAAAUAUAAACCCUGUCCUAAUCAUCUGCUUUCUCCUUCCCUUCCACCUCCAACAAUUCUCUGUACUGUUUUGUUCUGUUAUUGAUUUGUACUGAGCGGGUCGACCCGAGUAGGAUAGGUUCCUCUGACUGAGUCUUGGUUCCUUCCUUUUAAAAGGAAGUUUUUCACUGCCACUGUGUCACCAUAAAAAUUGGCCACACCAUGCAGAAGCAUGUGAAGACCCAAAAGUGGAAGGAACUGAUUUCUGUGCCUGUGGAAGGCAAGGCCAGGGGUGUUGUAGGCACUAGGCCGUUUCUAAUUGGGGAGGUCGUACGUGAUUACCAUGGGAAAGUAGUGAGUAGGAAAGUGGGUAUUGAGACCCACAAAUCCACAACUGGCAUAGAAAGUGGAUGUUUAUUUACAAAGAUAAGAAUGGGUAAAGUAAAUGUGUUUAUGCCUAUUUUGAAGAGCAUCAUCCCAGGAAACAAACAAUUGGACCUUUUUAAAGACUUUUUUUUCAAGCUCAAAGGAAGUCUUGAAGUCUGCGUACUUCUCUCACUGACUGUGAGAAAUCUCUCCUGGCCACAGUUUGUGCAGUCAAAACACAUCUUUAAUUACUUUGAGGACAGAAAGUCAUAGUUGAAACCAACAAUUAACCAGUGAUCUUUCUCAACACUGCAGAGUUUCAAUGUUGAAGUGCACAACACACAAAUCCUGAGACUGAGACGGCACUAGUCUCUCAGCAAUGCGAAACUGACGUCCCAGCUCAUAUGGCGCCAGUUUCUGAUCUUACUCCCCUGGCACCAACCCAACUCGUUACUUUGACCUAAAGAAGUGUGGGAACAUUCCCACGGUCUCCCACGGGUGCUUCUCCCAUCACAACCAGUGGGGACUCUAGGCCGGUGUUGAAAAUCUGAACCGGAAGGCCUCACCCCUUAAGAUAAGUAUAAAUUUAGUCGCUACUUAGCACCCUCUUAAAUUAAACUGUUACAUAAUAUUAACUAAGUUUACACUUGCUGUCAACAAUGUCUGUGGUACUGUAAUAGACAUGGUCCAUGAUUAAAAAAAAAAAAACUGAUCACAGUGUGAUUUGUUACUUGCUAUAGUGAUUCACACCAUAGCUUUAUAUAAAAUAAAAAAUAGCAUUAAAAACUUUGGCCUGUGUCAGACAAUUUUCUUGACAGGACUCGAGGACCUUGGUGGGAAUUCUUGGCCUGACCCGGCCCAAGUUAGAGAAUCUAAACUUUUAUUAAGAUGGGGUUCAACUCCCUGAUCAUAUUUUUUGGCUAAAGUAUCUGAAUUGAAUGAACUAAAACGCUAAACUAAUGCAAAGUCCGGCUGAUAGGUCGCACAUUUAUUUGCUUGUUGUUUGUUUAGCUUGUGUUGCUGGUUUUAUUUCUCUUUGUAAUUAUUCCUAAUUCUUUUUGUUUGAGGGUAAUUGUAUUACUAACUGUUGUUUGCAACUCUUAUCUGGUGUUUAUCUUGAGGGACAUGGCAAAGGUGGAGAAACGCACACUCUGGACGUCCUAUGAGGAGCUCGAUGGGCUGGAUCAGCAGCUCCAGCUGGAGAAGCAGAUGGAGAUCCAUUGGCAGAAGAUGAGGCUGAGGAAGGCUGGAGAACGCUUCCUUCACGGCCAUCUCCACCCCGGCGUUACUGACUUUGCCAUCAAGCUGCUGGCGCUCAAAGAGAGCAAAAUUGGCCCUGCUCCCUCCGGGUGGGUAGAUGGCGCUCUCUCCCUACAUCACUAAAGGGUGAUGUCCACAGCACAGGGCAUCUGGCCUAUGCCACACACGACACAAACAAAUCCAUGGAGGAAGGCGAGAGAAGUGCGUUUUGUAGCUGGAAAUACAGCCACUAUUUUGAGUUAGUAUCAGUUAAAGGUUCCAAUAUCAGGGUUCGCUGUACACUUUGUGCUGGCAACAAAGCGCUAUCUAUUUUCAGAAACUAGACAUCUAAUCUGAAGAAACAUUUGGAGUCGCAGCACAGCACAUUCAAACUUACCAAGCAAGUCCCACUAGGUGGUGCAAAGCAGAGAGCCGCAUCUAAUGCAGGAGGUACUCCUCCACUCAGACAGAAGCUGGACUGUAAAACCAGUAAGUUUAUAUUUUUUAUAAAAACAAGUAUUUAAGUGAAAUCAAGAAAGGACAUUUAUUUUUUUAUAAAAACAAUUUUGUUAAUUCAAGAGAAAUGGUCUUAUUUUUAUAAAAACUUUCAGGAAAUAGCUCAACUUUAAAUGUCAAGAGAUGCAUUGUUGCUGUUAAAAAUGCAUUUUCCAAGAAAGGGAGUAUUGGCAAAACUGGAUAAAAUUUUAAUGUUAAAGGCGGCAGGAGGUGGUGCCUGCAGCUGCUAAAAGUAACUAAUAAAAGUAACUUGUGAAGUAACUUAGUUACUUUAUGGAUUACUAGAUUUUAAAAGUAACUAAGUUAGUUUUUUAAGAAGUAAUCAGUAAAUCGUAUUACUUUUUCAAAGUAACUAUACCAUCACUGCUAGUGAUAGGGGGGAGUCCUAGUGAGUGGGUUGGGUAAUUGGCUGUGAUAAAUUGGGGAGCAAAUGGGAAAAAUUUGAACAGUGUACUGCUGAUAUAUAGACUAUGCUACAUACUGCUAGAAUUUGAAUCAUAGGAACUUAUUUUUUGUUUUUUUUAAAUGUGACUGACUUAAAUUUCCUUUCUUUCUUAAGAUUCUUAAGUUCCACACAGGCAGUACUGAACUGUGCUUUAAAGACAGAGUCCUGCAUGCAGACUGUGUAAAACUGUGUAACAUGUAGCAACAUUCAGACGGCGCCUUUAAAACAAGUCAUCAAGGAGAGGACCAGGUAAAGAUUCGAUACUGGAUGCUGCCAGGACAGAUUUCCUUGCUGUCGUCAGGAAACUGCGUGGGGAGAGUGCUUUCCAGGCCAUCAGAUGACCCUGGCAGAGUUGCAGCUGGUCCUCUAUUACUUAGAUGCCAUUGCAAUCCAGAAGCGUGCAGAGCAGCCUGGAGUUGUGGAGCACAUGACUGCAAGUCACGGAAUGGAUCAGCCGCAGGAGAGAUCAUGGUCACGGUGGUAACGUUGUGGUGGCAGUAAAGGAGCACAAGACCGCUGCCACACUUGCUUUAUCCCAGAUAUAGAGAAGAUGAUAUGUUUAAUUUUAACUUUAAUUUAGUCCUGUUAUAAAUGCUAUGAGAUAUGUAAAUAUGUUCUGUGAAUGCUAGAUUUUAUUAUUAUUAUUUUUUUUCCCUUUUCAUAGUGGGUCGAUCUUUACUAUUCCGAGGUGCGCCCAGUCCUGCUUGGAAAGAAGAGAAAAGCACUUUGAGGAUGACUAUGAUGAGGAGUUGGAGGAGAGGUUCUUCAUCUCCUCCACUGGCAAAACCAUCCAUUACACCUUCGAAGACCUGGAGCAGCUGCACAAAAAGCUAAAUUAAAGUGACGAGCCAAACGGCCAGACGGGCAUACGAGACAGCCAAAAAGAACCGGUCUGAUGCCGAAAAGGUCACUGCAGAGAAGCACUACUGAAUGAAGGAGAUUAGCUCAACGGUGGAUGCUUGCCUGAUACUGAAGAGCCUCUGCAGUGAUUCAGAUUAUGAGCAGGGUAACGACACUGCUACCGUUUCCUCGUCCUACAUAAGCGACCAAGCUGCAUACGACAAGUUGCUCCAGUCGUAUCCAGUGACGUUGGACGGGUUCCAGUAAAAAUGGUCUGAGCGGACAUUCCUGGCAGGAACCGCGAUGCGAUCCGAACUGUGGCCACACUGUACCGUUGCAUCACUAGUGACUACAGGACAGUGGUGUCAAGACAGGAGGGCUUAGCAACCCAUAGUCCUACAGUAGAGAGGGAGAGUGGCUACAUCUCUUUUUAUUUUAUUUUUUUAUAAUUAUGGACAGGUAGAUGGCAAGGACCUAAUCCUCUUUAUCGUUUGGCACUGAAAAAUCUUCAUGCAAUACAAAAUAUGUUUGAGUACUCUAGUUGACCGUAACCCUCAAAAACCCACAACAAUAUUAAUGAAGCCAUAAAAACCAGUCACUACUGCUAGUACUCUCAAUAGAGCUUAUAUCGGGCCCAAACAGUCCAGACCAAUCCUACCUGUACAUGUUUCAUUGUGAUUCAGAGGCCGAUCCCAAUUUAAACCAGGCGUUUAUUUAGUAAGUAAAGCUUUAAGACAGACAUUUUAACUUCAAUACACAGCUGUUUGAAUGAGAGAACUCUGUUCAAAAUGAUGUUAAUAAACAGUGAAACACAAAAGAA